AGUAUAUGCCAAAAGCCAUCAUCAACCAACAAGAACCAACGUGCUACCCACAGUAUAUCAUUUACUGUACAAAGUAAUAUAUAGAGAAAUUAUUUAUGUCCGACAUACACAAUUUCUAGUUUUAUUAACCACCCUCCUUAUUCGCAAGUCAUAUCAACUCUAUCUGUUCUAAUAGCUACUAGGUGUUUUUAACCUGAAUUGCUGUGGUAUUUGUGUGAGGAGGUCAUCUUCAUAUCAAUGAGCAAGAUCAAUGAGGCAAAUAAGCCUACAGCUCAGCUGCAAACACUCUCCACAGGGUGCUCCACAUUUGAAAGUAAGAUCCUGAGCAAGUGGGAGUUGUAAUCAUGUGUAAUGUUUCCCUUGAAAGCCAGUAUAACACAGAUCAGCAUAUACAGUACAUGUGUCCCCAUAUGGCAUCUUCGACAGCUGUCCAGAGUCCCUGAAUGGCAUUUUUAUUUUCGGAAUUAUGGAAAUAUUGAUGACAAUAUGUGUGUGUCAAUACUCUCCAGUGCUGUGUGACAACGUAACUAGUAUGAAUGGCUUUUGGCGUGUAUUGUAUCUUGUCUCACUCUCGGUCUCUGUGCGGGGGCAUAGAGUGUGUCUGGCACUCACAUGGUCCAAUUGUGUUUAGGACUCAGAAGGUAUAAAUAAGGUCAUUGACUUAAACAGGGUAACACUUCAGGCAAGUAUGGUAAUUGAAUCAUGCACCUGUGUCAUUUUAUCUAAUUGGUUGCAGGAGUUGCUUAAUUGGACUUUAUUUACAAAUCAUUAUCGGAAAGUAUUCCUUGCCCAAUGGGAAGAUCUACUUGGCAGUGAUUUUUGACCUGACCUGAACCAAUUAUGCUUCUCUUGUCAUCCGAGUUAUUAUCUUGAAACAGCCACGAGUACCUUUAGAAAAGAUGUGCACCGCAGACAUGUGUUAUCUUCACUUGUUUGACCUAUUCCAUCAGUAGAGGCCUUAGAGGCAUUUUGUUCCUCCCAGGAUAUGUACAUAUCUACUAAAUGAAGCAAAGGACAAAAUUGGAUGAGUAAAUAAAUUAACAGCAACAAUCUAUACAGACAGUGAGAUGCAUUUCUAACUCGGAUAGUGUUUUUUUGGUAAAGCCAUGGGAUCCAUUACUAGCACUGUCAUCAAAUGACAAAAGUCUACAAGGUGGACAAUGUAACAGUGCUUCCAUGAAAUUUCAAGCGCCUAGAGUAUGUAUAAUCAUCAAAUAUACAUGAAAUUGUGAUUAAAUACCAAAACCCUGUCAAUAAUCUGACCUGUCUUUGGUUAUUAAUUAUGGUCAAUGGAGACAAGAAAACUACUUUAAAACAUAAAUUCACCCACUGCAUUGCUUAAAAUAUUGUCAUUCUUCAUUUCAUACCACACAGCUGUCUCUAUAGCCUAUAUACGAAUAUGAAACAUUAAUGGCACUGCCAUUAAUAACAUUGACAGAACCUGUGUAUUGGCCCCUUUCACCAGUGCAGCAAUGCAAUACAGUACUGCAAUACCAGGGCUCUACAGUGCGAGUAUUUCACUCGCAUUUGCGCCUAAAAAUAGGUAUGUGCGAACUUGA
This is a long non-coding RNA of Clupea harengus (Atlantic herring), 1559 nucleotides long. The record is from Ensembl. NCBI's taxonomy places the organism in Eukaryota, Metazoa, Chordata, Actinopteri, Clupeiformes, Clupeidae.